GUUCUGCUAUGACGAACUAAGAAUAAAAUUCACAUGUCAGACUUCAGAGAUUUUUCAAAAGUCAAUGAGAAUGAUAAUUCUUCACUGAGCAGAAA
Arachis stenosperma is the source of this 95-nucleotide small nucleolar RNA. RefSeq annotates it as small nucleolar RNA R64/Z200 family. Lineage: Eukaryota; Viridiplantae; Streptophyta; Magnoliopsida; Fabales; Fabaceae. The record is from RefSeq and is a predicted model, not a curated record. The transcript has a single exon.